UGCAGUCGACGGUAACAGGAAGCAGCUUGCUGCUUUGCUGACGAGUGGCGGACGGGUGAGUAAUGUCUGGGAAACUGCCUGAUGGAGGGGGAUAACUACUGGAAACGGUAGCUAAUACCGCAUAACGUCGCAAGACCAAAGAGGGGGACCUUCGGGCCUCUUGCCAUCGGAUGUGCCCAGAUGGGAUUAGCUUGUUGGUGGGGUAACGGCUCACCUAGGCGACGAUCCCUAGCUGGUCUGAGAGGAUGACCAGCCACACUGGAACUGAGACACGGUCCAGACUCCUACGGGAGGCAGCAGUGGGGAAUAUUGCACAAUGGGCGCAAGCCUGAUGCAGCCAUGCCGCGUGUAUGAAGAAGGCCUUCGGGUUGUAAAGUACUUUCAGCGGGGAGGAAGGGAGUAAAGUUAAUACCUUUGCUCAUUGACGUUACCCGCAGAAGAAGCACCGGCUAACUCCGUGCCAGCAGCCGCGGUAAUACGGAGGGUGCAAGCGUUAAUCGGAAUUACUGGGCGUAAAGCGCACGCAGGCGGUUUGUUAAGUCAGAUGUGAAAUCCCCGGGCUCAACCUGGGAACUGCAUCUGAUACUGGCAAGCUUGAGUCUCGUAGAGGGGGGUAGAAUUCCAGGUGUAGCGGUGAAAUGCGUAGAGAUCUGGAGGAAUACCGGUGGCGAAGGCGGCCCCCUGGACGAAGACUGACGCUCAGGUGCGAAAGCGUGGGGGAGCAAACAGGAUUAGAUACCCUGGAUAGUCCACGCCGUAAACGAUGUCGACUUGGAGG
This 778-nucleotide ribosomal RNA is filed under the name Escherichia coli. RNAcentral's name for it is "bacterial SSU rRNA". It matches the Rfam family "Bacterial small subunit ribosomal RNA", at positions 56 to 823 of the family's 1533-position model. The record is from RNAcentral. Lineage: Bacteria; Pseudomonadati; Pseudomonadota; Gammaproteobacteria; Enterobacterales; Enterobacteriaceae.